RNAcentral lists this ribosomal RNA (116 nucleotides) under Klebsiella pneumoniae. Lineage: Bacteria; Pseudomonadati; Pseudomonadota; Gammaproteobacteria; Enterobacterales; Enterobacteriaceae. The record is from RNAcentral.
CCUGGCGGCACUAGCGCGGUGGUCCCACCUGACCCCAUGCCGAACUCAGAAGUGAAACGCGUAGGCGCCGAUGGUAGUGUGGGGUCUCCCCAUGUGAGAGUAGGGAACUGCCAGGC